AGGAUGUGGCCGUAUCUUUUUGGGGGGCCACCAUUCAGCUCACUACACCAUACUGUAUGGAGAAGAAACAGGCAAGAACCCUGAGACCAGGAGUCACCCUGCGGGGCUGGACUGCUGAUGCCACAGGACUGCAGAGGGACCCACUAGGGGAAGAGAGAAGAUCUCCAUCCCAGCGUCAGAUCUGGCCCCAGUGGCCUCGUGGACGCCUCCACCUGUCUGUCUCACGGGAACCUCGAAGCCAGCACGUUAUAUAAGUCCAUGCCCGCUCCCCCUCCGCGCUCCCCCUUCCACGAACAGUACAACUCGCUCUGACCUGCGGCCUCCCCGGCCCUGCGUCAACCCCAACAUCUUCCAGCCCUUCCAUCUCUAGGACCGUGCCCUCGGGCAGGUCUCUGAGAUGACCCAGUGACUUCUCUGCUCACAGCCCACCCUUCGAAACCAGCCCUGCGAUCCUGCGGAUUGGAGCAAACGACACGCAGACACUCCUGUCUCAUGCAGUCACCAUGCAGUGUGAAGGAUACAUUUUCAGCACGAUGCCAGAGGGUGCCUGCUGGAGAGAGGGGGCUCCUCCACGACCCCCACUUGGCUCGUGGGGGGCAUGUUCCAGCUGGUGGCAACAGCAUGGUUCUCAGAUGUCAGUUCUCAAGGACACUGACGUAAUCGCUUGCUUGAUUCGCUUCACAAUCCACGCACAACUGCUCCGAAGAGCAAAACCAACCUCCACCACCAGCAUGGUGGCUAAAAAUAUUUAAGUAUUUUCAGUUAUUUUAGCUCUAGAGUGUGUUCUAUUGGGAAUAUAGUCAAAUUACUGUUUCA
Molecule: long non-coding RNA, 816 nt
Organism: Molossus molossus (Pallas's mastiff bat)
Lineage: Eukaryota; Metazoa; Chordata; Mammalia; Chiroptera; Molossidae
Exons: 2
Source: RefSeq, a predicted model, not a curated record